CACCAUAGCGACCACGAGAAAAGGGGGGGCAGUGAAGAAAACGAGCGUCAUUUUCUCUCCAUGCCGGGACUCCUUUUUCCGGUGGGGCAAAGAUAGCCCUUGCUUCUCACCUGCGCGCUCUCGAUCUGCCCGUUGACCAUGAGAAGGAAGACGGUGGGACUAGCGGUGGCUGCCAUCGGCUCUCGCAGGCGCGGAGAGAGACCCCGUCGUUAUAGGCCGCGUCGUGCGCCUUCCCUAGCAACAGCGGACGGCACGUCGUGGGGGACAAUCUUUUUGGAAGGCGAAGGGAUGGGGCUGGGCUGCGCGUGCGGCCUGAGUCAGCGGCACACGAGGAGGGAGUUUUCAUGCGAGCGGCGUUGGAGGAAGGAGUCGCAGUAGAAUGUGAAUAAAAUAGCAGCAUUAAUAGUACAACACGGGAUUGUCCACUGCAGGACUGAAAGCAACUGCUAAGAUCCAUUGUAUUCGCUGGACUGUUUUCCGCUGCGAACAUAAGACGAAUAAGCAAACUGGCAAUUUCUGUUCCUUUCCAUUUUCGUUGGAAUUCUCUGACAUCUUUACUCACAAACACCCCUUGGCCACAUCAGAAAUAAGGUAAGACUUACACUGUCACGCCAUGUUGAUGUGUAACGCAGUGUGAUGUUGGUGCGGCAGCAGGGCGGCGUAACAAAAGCAUGGCUUAUCAGGCAAGCACGAGGCACGAUCAGCACUCAAGGACACACUCCAGCCAGGCAAAACCACUCAAGUUUUGCAACCCAGCCCUUGGCAGCAGAUUCAAAAAGCCAGCAUGCUGUCGAUGGAGCAGAAGCCAAUGACUAUAUCCCCUGAAUAUGACUGCUCCUCAUCUCUUGCUUCUCAAAGGCAUUUGAGCCACAAAAAGAAGAUGCCAGGAUUGGAACCUGCCCUGAUACCUGUUCUGAACAGAGGAUAAGUGCAAAGAGUUUAUUUCCGUGCGCGAGCAUGGCAGAGGCUGAUGGAGGCGCCUUUUUCCCAUUGAGGAAGGAGCAUGCCUGCACUGUUGUGAGGCGGAUUCUGGUUACUCCUACGUCUGGUGAACAAAAAGAACAAUAAUGAAAUAAUUUACUAUUUAUUUGUUUUUUGUUUUUUUCCGUCAACGUCGGAAAUCACCUUCAUUGCGUCCAGCCCUCGUUGUGCACUUUUUAAAGUUCAGAUUAUUGCAGCAUUUAACCUGAAUUCCAUAAGUAAACAGAUUGGGGUGGGGAGAGAAAAGAAAGAUAAUAAUCACUUGGAAUAUAUGUAAAAUGUUUUUAAAAGGACAGCUUCUGUACCCAUAAGAAGAAAGAAUACCUUAUUGUUAUUGCACUGGCUACAAUUCAGUAGUUAUUUUGGUUUUCAUCGUUUCCUGUAGCGAGGACAUCAAAUAAUAACAAAAAAAGAUGACAGCAAAAGGUGGAGCCAGAAGAGACAUAUCAAAACAUGGGCUGCAAGCUGAAGCUUGAAGGAUGGCUAGUCAGGAAGAGCAGAGGAGAGACAAGGGGUUGGUAUAUCAGGGUCAAAAUGAGAGAGAACAAGAAGCAUCGUCAUUAAGCUUCCACUUAGAAUCUGACAAUACAUCACCCAGUUGAGAAUCCGAUGUUAAUGCAAGAAACGAAGAAAAGAAUGACAGGCCCCAAUCCAGCUAAUGUUUAUAGCAACUGAGGCCGCAGCUUUCAGCACACAUACUAGGAAAUAAGUCCAACUGAAACUCACAAAGGCUGUGAUUCUAUACAUACUUACCUAGGAGUAAGUCCCAUUGAACUCAGUGGUGCUUACUUCUGAGUAGAUAUGCAUAGGAUUGCCCUGUAAGCUGGUCUAAUGCAGACAAAACGAGUCACCCUUAAAAUGACAGGGGCAAGUUAGUCGGUUUCAGCAGGAGUUUAGUUGGAUCAGGGCCACUGUGUCUUCUGAGUAAGCAUUCAUAGGAUUGGAUUGCAAGUUCCAUUGAAAGCCACAGGACUCUCUGUUGGCUUCAGUGGGACUUAGAUGUGACUAACUAUAGCUGGAUGAGGUCCAGUGUUCCCUAUAAAAAUAUGUGCAUUAUGAAGAGAAGAGCUUCUAUGUGAAUGUGAAUGUUGUCGUUUGUGUGUGUGUGGCUCGUUUGUGUGUGUUUUCUUUUUAUUUCUCAAAUACAUUAUUUUCUAUUUAUAAUUGCUGAUAUACAGACAAUAUACAACUUGCAUCUCCUGGGCAUUUUUCGCUUCCUGUGACAACUUUCCGUGCAAUAAUAAAAGGUGCCAUUUCGA
This is a long non-coding RNA of Rhineura floridana, 2240 nucleotides long. RefSeq lists it as uncharacterized. Lineage: Eukaryota; Metazoa; Chordata; Lepidosauria; Squamata; Rhineuridae. The record is from RefSeq and is a predicted model, not a curated record. The transcript has 7 exons.